GAUAAAGUAAAUCAGUGCAAAUGCCAAUCAAAAUAUGUGCCACAUAGGGGUGGGCAACGGUUGUGCGCCAAAAUUCCUUCUUGGUUCAACCUCUGGUUGGGGUACUGGCCUCGACCUCUUAUCUUUUUCACCUUCGGUUGAUCGUGAUGGGUUGCUCCUUAGUUGCCAUAGUGCAUUUUCUGGUCUAGGAAUAAGUGAUUGAAAAGAUAAACCACAUUGGUAGAACAAUGAUCCUGGAGGUGUUUGUGACAUAAACGACAUAUGAGUACAACUAUGUUGUGUCCUAUACACCGAUGGCAUAGUGACUGGAAUUUUGGUCGGUGCCUGAUACAUAGACGGCCUAUACUUGUAACACCCCUACCCAUAUUCAACGCCAGAAUAGGGUUACGGAGCAUUACUUAUAACACAUUUUAAAUAUACAUUUCACAUACAAUUAAUCAAAUCAUUUACAUUCCAUUCACAACCAAACAUUUUGUCCCUAAUACGAGCUCACGAGGCCCUAAAGAUACAUUGAGAGUAGUUUGAGACUAAACUGAUAACUUUGGAAACUUUUUGAACACUUAGAAAAUUUUCUCAAAAACAGGGGACACAUGCCCAUGUAGCCCGGUCGUGUCUCUCACACGGUUGAAGACACACCCGUGUCGCAGGCCGUGUGGACAUUCGAAAUGGAAGCACAUGGCAAUGUCCCAGGCCGUGUCCGACCCCGUGAAACUCUCUGACUUGGGUCACACGGGCAACACACACGCCCGUGUGCCCUAAAAUUGGCCAUACACGCUUGUGUGCCAGGCCGUGUGCUAGGCCGUGCCAAACCUGUAAGGUAUACUGACUUAUGUCACACGACCAAGUCAUACACCUGUGUGUGAAGCCGUGUAGAGCAUACUAACUUGAUUUUAAUUUCAACACCAGGGGACACACAACCGUGUAACAUAACCAUGUGUCACACACGACUGAGACACACGCCCAUGUCUCUGCCGUGUGGACAAAAAUAGGCUAUUUACCAAGUCAUUUUGCCACCUAAACUUAUGCACAUCUAUACCAAAAUCAAAUGGCACAAACAUAGCAUAAAAUAUGUAUUCAAUCAUCCUCAAUCAAGCAUCAUUUUACUAUUUCAAUACCACCAAUAUACAAGACACAUAAUAUCCCAAUAUGCCAUCCAAUUUAUACCAAAUUUCUCUUACCCAAACAUAAAAAAUGACCAAACUCAUAUAUGCAUUGUUUAGCCUAAUUUCACAAGCAUACGAAUAUCCAGAACUCAACCAUUUAACACUUAUAAUACCUAUUAUCACCAAGCAUCACACAAUCAUCAUCCAACACAUUUCACUAAAACAUAUACACAUUUAUAUAUACAUGAUUCAAACAUACCAAAAUAACCCAAAAUAAGUCAUCACUCAUGGCUAUAUAUAUACAAACCAAAAUAUAAACUUUUACAACCCAAUUCAAAUAGCCAAAAUCAUUUUCAACUCAUAACCAAAAUGACUCAAAAUACCUAUACAUGCCAUAUAACCAAAACAUAAGUUCAAAAGUACCAAAUUGAUAGUUGGAUAGUGUGAUGUAAUCCCUGACGAUCCCCGAAUUUGAGUUAGCUUUAAAGUCACUAUAAAACAUGGAAAAAUAAACAAAAUAAGCUUUAUAGCUUAGUAAGCUUGUAUGAAAUAAACUCAAUCUUAACAUGAUUAUAUAAAUUAUCAAUUUGAACAUAUCAACAUGUAAUUAAUUUAACUAACAAACCUUUCACAUUUUCAAUCAUAAUCUUAUAUAUGAACUUCACAACUUCUUCGAUUUAAGUUUAUACAGUUCAUGUACAUACCUGUACCAUCUUGUAUCAAUUUCAUACACAACCACGUCCUUUAUUUACCCGUUGAACCAUUCGGAAUACUAUCGGAUACAUGAGAAACUCGCACCAAAGUGCCAAUAUCAUGGCCUGAAACCAACUCAAUCUCAUAACACAUAUACUGCUCACACUAGAGCUAUCAACAUGCCUGCUCACACAAGCUGUGGGUCAAGACGUAGCUACACGGUGCUGCUCACACAAGUUGUUAAGUAACCGCAACACAUGCCGGUAUACUCAGCCACCGGUAGGACAUACAGAACCAGCACUCGGAUCACAUAAUCACAAUAAUCCCUAAUGACCACUACAACAAAACUGACUUUUAGCGGCGUUUUUUUAGGCCUUUAGCGGCGCUUUUACAAGCGCCACAAAAAAACGCCGCUAUAGAUGGCGCCACAAAAGUUUGCGGCGUUUUUUUUUUUAAAAACGCCGCUAAAGGUCAUGGCCUUUAGCGGCGCUUUUCCCACAAACGCCGCUAAAGGUCAUAGCCUUUAGCGGCACUUUUCCCACAAACGCAGUUAAAGGUCAUGAAAUUUAAAAAAAAAAUAUUAUAAAAUAUUAUAAAGGUCUUGAAAAAUUAAAAUUCAUUAUCAAAAUAUUGAGGAGAAUAAUAUCCAUGAUAUAAAUAUAAAAAUUUUCUAUUAAAAUUCAUUAUCAAAUUAAAUUUUGUAUGAAAAUUUUAACUUUAAAACUAAAUAUAAAAUUUGAUGAAUUCAAAUUUAGAAUUUAAAAUAAUAAAUUAAUAACAAAACUUAGAACUCAAGUUAUUAAA
RNAcentral lists this long non-coding RNA (2600 nucleotides) under Gossypium barbadense (sea-island cotton). RNAcentral's name for it is "long non-coding RNA (GBAR_LNC010197)". Lineage: Eukaryota; Viridiplantae; Streptophyta; Magnoliopsida; Malvales; Malvaceae. The record is from RNAcentral.